This 818-nucleotide ribosomal RNA is filed under the name uncultured bacterium. RNAcentral describes it as "bacterial SSU rRNA". It matches the Rfam family "Bacterial small subunit ribosomal RNA", at positions 1 to 830 of the family's 1533-position model. The record is from RNAcentral.
UUAGAGUUUGAUCCUGGCUCAGGACGAACGCUGGCGGCGUGCUUAACACAUGCAAGUCGAACGAUGAAGACUGGUGCUUGCACUGGUUGGAUUAGUGGCGAACGGGUGAGUAAUACGUGAGUAACCUGCCUUUGACUCUGGGAUAAGCCUGGGAAACUGGGUCUAAUACCGGAUAUGACAAGGAACCGCAUGGUUUUUUGUGGAAAGGGUUUGUACUGGUUCUAGAUGGGCUCACGGCCUAUCAGCUUGUUGGUGGGGUAAUGGCUCACCAAGGCGACGACGGGUAGCCGGCCUGAGAGGGUGACCGGCCACACUGGGACUGAGACACGGCCCAGACUCCUACGGGAGGCAGCAGUGGGGAAUAUUGCACAAUGGGCGCAAGCCUGAUGCAGCGACGCCGCGUGAGGGAUGACGGCCUUCGGGUUGUAAACCUCUUUCAGCAGGGAAGAAGCGAAAGUGACGGUACCUGCAGAAGAAGCGCCGGCUAACUACGUGCCAGCAGCCGCGGUAAUACGUAGGGCGCGAGCGUUGUCCGGAAUUAUUGGGCGUAAAGAGCUUGUAGGCGGUUUGUUGCGUCUGCUGUGAAAGACCGGGGCUUAACCCCGGUAUUGCAGUGGGUACGGGCAGACUAGAGUGCAGUAGGGGAGACUGGAAUUCCUGGUGUAGCGGUGAAAUGCGCAGAUAUCAGGAGGAACACCGAUGGCGAAGGCAGGUCUCUGGGCUGUAACUGACGCUGAGAAGCGAAAGCAUGGGGAGCGAACAGGAUUAGAUACCCUGGUAGUCCAUGCCGUAAACGUUGGGCACUAGGUGUGGGGGAC